ACUGCUCAGUAACACGUGGUUAACCUACCCUCAGGACAGGGAUAAACCCGGGAAACUGGGGCUAAUACCUGAUAGGUGAGGAUGCCUGGAAUGGUUUCUCACUCAAAGGGCUUUGGAAACAUGCUUCCACUGUCGCCUGGGGAUGGGGCCGCGACCGAUCAGGUUGUUGGUGAGGUAACGGCUCACCAAGCCUAUAACCGGUACGGGCCGUGAGAGCGGUAGCCCGGAGAUGGGUACUGAGACAAGGACCCAGGCCCUACGGGGCGCAGCAGUCGCGAAAACUCCGCAAUGCACGAAAGUGUGACGGGGCUACCCCGAGUGCCAUCCGCUGAGGAUGGCUUUUCUUUGGUAUAACUAGCCAGGGGAAUAAGGAGAGGGCAAGACUGGUGUCAGCCGCCGCGGUAAUACCAGCUCUCCGAGUGGUAGGGAUGAUUAUUGGGCUUAAAGCGUCCGUAGCCGGCUUAGCAAGUCUCCUGUUAAAUUCAGCGACCUAAUCGUUGAGCCGCGGGAGAUACUACUAGGCUAGGAGGCGGGAGAGGUCGACGGUACUUCUGGGGUAGGGGUGAAAUCCUAUAAUCCCGGGAGGACCACCAGUGGCGAAGGCUGUCGACUAGAACGCGCUCGACGGUGAGGGACGAAAGCUGGGGGAGCGAACCGGAUUAGAUACCCGGGUAGUCCCAGCCGUAAACGAUGCGGGCUAGGUGUUGGGGUGGCUACGUGCCACUUCAGUGCCGCAGGGAAGCCAUUAAGCCCGCCGCCUGGGGAGUACGGCCGCAAGGCUGAAACUUAAAGGAAUUGGCGGGGGAG
Molecule: ribosomal RNA, 807 nt
Filed under: uncultured archaeon
Lineage: Archaea
Description: bacterial SSU rRNA
Rfam family: Archaeal small subunit ribosomal RNA
Source: RNAcentral